CCUACGGGAGGCAGCAGUAGGGAAUAUUGGGCAAUGGGCGCAAGCCUGACGCAGCAACGCCGCGUGAAGGAAGAAGGCUUUCGGGUUGUAAACUUCUUUUGUCAGGGAAGAGUAGAAGACGGUCCCUGUAAUAUAAGCCACGGAUAACUCCGUACCAGCAGCCGCGGUAAUAGGUAGGGUGCAAGCGUUGUCCGGAUUUACUGGGUGGAAAGGGCGUGUAGCCGGGUUGACAAGUCAGAUGUGAAAUCCUGCGGCUUAACCGUAGAACUGCAUUUGAAACUGUUGAUCUAGAGUACUGGAGAGGCAGACGGAAUUCCUGGUGUAGCGGUGAAAUGCGUAGAUAUUAGGAGGAAAACCAGUGGCGAAGGCGGUCUGCUGGACCGCAACUGACGGUGAGGCGCGAAAGCGUGGGGAGCAAACAGGAUUAGAUACCCUAGUAGUC
Molecule: ribosomal RNA, 442 nt
Filed under: uncultured bacterium
Lineage: Bacteria
Description: partial 16S ribosomal RNA
Rfam family: Bacterial small subunit ribosomal RNA
Source: RNAcentral